This 476-nucleotide RNase P RNA is filed under the name Sulfuritalea sp. RNAcentral's name for it is "partial RNase P RNA component class A". It matches the Rfam family "Bacterial RNase P class A", at positions 1 to 325 of the family's 367-position model. From Rfam's summary of the family: Ribonuclease P (RNase P) is a ubiquitous endoribonuclease, found in archaea, bacteria and eukarya as well as chloroplasts and mitochondria. The record is from RNAcentral. Lineage: Bacteria; Pseudomonadati; Pseudomonadota; Betaproteobacteria; Nitrosomonadales; Sterolibacteriaceae.
GAAGUUCGCCAGGCAACCGCUGAUCACGAAAGUGGUUGGAGGAAAGUCCGGGCCCCGCAGGGCGGAAUGCCGGCUAACGGCCGGGCGCUAUAAGUCCGGCGGCGAAAGCCGCCGGACCCAAGGCGACAGACAGUGCAACAGAAAGAUACCGCCGAUGGCCCGACUUUGACGCCGCAAGGCGGCAAAGUCCCCCUUCCGAAAGGGAGGGCGGUUCCUCUUCAGGAGGGGCGGGAUCAGGUAAGGGUGAAAUGGUGGUGCGGUUUGUUGCGUCGCGCAAGUGAUGCGGCAAGCUGUGCCGGCGCGGCGCAAGCUGCGCCGGGGUAAGAGCCCACCGCGUUUCUGGUAACAGAAACGGCAUGGCAAACCUCAUUCGGGGCAAGGCCAAAUAGGGGAGCAUUGGCGUGGCCCGCGUCGCUCCCGGGUAGGCUGCUAGAGGCCGUCGGUAACGGCGGUCCCAGAGGAAUGGUUGCCCACGA